UACGAAGGGGGCUAGCGUUGCUCGGAAUUACUGGGCGUAAAGCGCACGUAGGCGGCUUUCUAAGUCGGGGUGAAUCCUGGAGCUCAACUCCAGAACUGCCUUCGAUACUGGAAGCUCGAGUCCGGGAGAGGUGAGUGGAACUGCGAGUGUAGAGGUGAAAUUCGUAGAUAUUCGCAAGAACACCAGUGGCGAAGGCGGCUCACUGGCCCGGUACUGACGCUGAGGUGCGAAAGCGUGGGGAGCAAACAGG
Molecule: ribosomal RNA, 250 nt
Filed under: uncultured bacterium
Lineage: Bacteria
Description: partial 16S ribosomal RNA
Rfam family: Bacterial small subunit ribosomal RNA
Source: RNAcentral